RNAcentral lists this long non-coding RNA (627 nucleotides) under Cucumis sativus (cucumber). RNAcentral describes it as "long non-coding RNA (CSAT_LNC000796)". Lineage: Eukaryota; Viridiplantae; Streptophyta; Magnoliopsida; Cucurbitales; Cucurbitaceae. The record is from RNAcentral.
CCAAGUACUCUUUAUUUGUGCAUGACUUUGAUUAUGUCUUCUUCCAUCAAGGGAAGACCCUAAGACCUACUUCAAAAUGGAAAUCAAAUGGCUUUCAAUUCUCAUAACAACCACCAUCUUCAUCAUCACAAUCUUCAAACUCAUCCGCCAUGGCCGCUCCUUGAACAACCUUCCACCAGGGCCAUCACCUCUCCCAUUUCUUGGCAACAUCCUCUUACUCCGUAAACACUCUUCUUCAUUCUUCUCUCUCCUUCACACCCUCCACCUUCAGUACGGCCCCAUCUUCACCCUCCACUUCGCCUCUCGCCCUGUCAUUUUCAUCGCCGGCCAUUCCCUCGCCCACCAAGCUCUCCUUCACCACGGCGCUGCCUUUGCCGACCGCCCCCCUCCCUCCAUCACCACCAAAAUUCUCUACAGCAACCAUAUCACCAUCUUCACCGCCUUCCACGGCCCCAAUUGGAACCUCCUCCGCCGUAACCUCAUCUCUGAAAUCCUUCACCCUUCUCGCCUGAAACUCCACUCCGACGCUCGCCGGUGGAGCCUGCUCUCGCUUGUCUCCCGCUUGAAAUUGCACUCCCAGGGUGGCACAGCCGCCGUUUGCUUUGUGGAUCAUUUUUGGCCGACGAU